GCCGAAGUGGCGGAACUGGCAGACGCACACGACUCAAAAUCGUGCGGGUUUAUCCCGUGAGGGUUCGACUCCCUCCUUCGGCACCA
This 86-nucleotide transfer RNA is filed under the name Desulfallas sp. Bu1-1. Its description in RNAcentral is "tRNA-Leu". It matches the Rfam family "tRNA". Rfam says of the family: Transfer RNA (tRNA) molecules are approximately 80 nucleotides in length. Their secondary structure includes four short double-helical elements and three loops (D, anti-codon, and T loops). Lineage: Bacteria; Bacillati; Bacillota; Clostridia; Eubacteriales; Desulfallaceae. The record is from RNAcentral.